AGGUAAAUUGAGGUAGAGUGAGGUAGAAUAAGAUAUAGUGAGUUAGAAUAGGAUAUAGUGAGGUAGAGUGAGGUUUUGGGAGGUAUUGCAAUUGCAUUGAUUAAGGAAGAGUUUGCUAGAGUGAGAUAGAGUGAGUUACAGUGAGGUUGAGUAGUGCAGAAUAAGGUGAAGUGAGGCAGAGUGAGUUAGAGUGAGUUAGAGUGAAUUGGGGGGCAGAGGGAGGUAGAAUGAGAGAGUGAGAGAGCAAGGUAGAGUGAGGUAGGGGAUGCAGAGCGAUGUAGAAUAUGGUAGAGUGAGGUAGAGUGCAGUUUUGGGAGGUAUUGCAAAGUACAUUGAGGUAGAGUGAGGUAGAGCAAGGUACAAUGAGACAGAGCAAGGCAGUAAAAGGCAAAGUGAGGUAAAAGAUUGAGGUAGAGUGUGAUAGAGCGAGAUAGAGGAAGUUACAGUGAGGUAGAGCAAGGUAGAGUGAGGCAGAGCAUAGUAGAGUGAGACAGAGCAAGGUAGAGUGAGACAGAAAAAGGUAGAGUGAGACAGAGCAAGGUAGAGUGAGACAGAAAAAGGUAGAGUGAGACAGAGCAUAGUAGAGUGAGACAGAGCAUAAUAGAGUGAGACAGAGCAAGGUAGAGUGAGACAGAGCAUAGUAGAGUGAAACAGAGCAAGGUAGAGUGAGACAGAGCAUAGUAGAGUGAAACAGAGCAAGGUAGAGUGAGACAGAGCAUAGUAGAGUGAGACAGAGCAAGGUAGUGUGAGACAGAGCAUAGUAGAGUGAGACAGAGCAAGGUAGUGUGAGACAGAGCAUAGUAGAGUGAGACAGAGCAAGGUAGAGUGAGACAGAAAAAGGUAGAGUGAGACAGAGCAUAGUAGAGUGAGACAGAGCAAGUUAGAGUGAGACAGAGCAAGGUAGAGUGAGACAGAGCAAGGUAGAGUGAGGCAGAGCAUAGUAGAGUGAGGUAGAGUGAGACAGAGCAAGUUAGAGUGAGACAGAGCAAGGUAGAGUGAGACAGAGCAAGGUAGAGUGAGGCAGAGCAUAGUAGAGUGAGGUAGAGUGAGACAGAGCAAGUUAGAGUGAGACAGAGCAAGGUAGAGUGAGACAGAGCAAGGUAGAGUGAGACAGAGCAA
Long non-coding RNA from Astyanax mexicanus (Mexican tetra), 1119 nucleotides. RefSeq lists it as uncharacterized. The record is from RefSeq and is a predicted model, not a curated record. The transcript is spliced from 3 exons. Lineage: Eukaryota; Metazoa; Chordata; Actinopteri; Characiformes; Acestrorhamphidae.